Molecule: ribosomal RNA, 451 nt
Filed under: Salmonella enterica subsp. enterica serovar Infantis
Lineage: Bacteria; Pseudomonadati; Pseudomonadota; Gammaproteobacteria; Enterobacterales; Enterobacteriaceae
Also listed under: 2 other names
Description: bacterial SSU rRNA
Rfam family: Bacterial small subunit ribosomal RNA
Source: RNAcentral
AAAUUGAAGAGUUUGAUCAUGGCUCAGAUUGAACGCUGGCGGCAGGCCUAACACAUGCAAGUCGAACGGUAACAGGAAGCAGCUUGCUGCUUCGCUGACGAGUGGCGGACGGGUGAGUAAUGUCUGGGAAACUGCCUGAUGGAGGGGGAUAACUACUGGAAACGGUGGCUAAUACCGCAUAACGUCGCAAGACCAAAGAGGGGGACCUUCGGGCCUCUUGCCAUCAGAUGUGCCCAGAUGGGAUUAGCUUGUUGGUGAGGUAACGGCUCACCAAGGCGACGAUCCCUAGCUGGUCUGAGAGGAUGACCAGCCACACUGGAACUGAGACACGGUCCAGACUCCUACGGGAGGCAGCAGUGGGGAAUAUUGCACAAUGGGCGCAAGCCUGAUGCAGCCAUGCCGCGUGUAUGAAGAAGGCCUUCGGGUUGUAAAGUACUUUCAGCGGGGAGGA